UGAACGCUGGCGGUAUGCUUAACACAUGCAAGUCGAACGGAAACGAUACUAGCUUGCUAGUAGGCGUCGAGUGGCGGACGGGUGAGUAACGCGUAGGAAUCUGCCUGAUAGUGGGGGAUAGCCCGAAGAAAUUCGGAUUAAUACCGCAUAAUCUAUUCGUAGUAAAGUGGGGGACUUUCGAGCCUCACGCUAUCAGAUGAGCCUGCGUAAGAUUAGCUUGUUGGUGGGGUAAAAGCCCACCAAGGCGACGAUCUUUAGCUGGUCUGAGAGGAUGAUCAGCCACAUCGGGACUGAGACACGGCCCGAACUCCUACGGGAGGCAGCAGUGGGGAAUAUUGGACAAUGGGGGCAACCCUGAUCCAGCAAUACCGCGUGUGUGAAGAAGGCCUGAGGGUUGUAAAGCACUUUCAAUUGUGAAGAAAAGUUAGCGGUUAAUAACCGUUAGCCUUGACGUUAACUUUAGAAGAAGCACCGGCUAACUCCGUGCCAGCAGCCGCGGUAAUACGGAGGGUGCAAGCGUUAAUCGGAAUUACUGGGCGUAAAGCGUGCGUAGGCGGUUUAUUAAGUCAGAUGUGAAAGCCCCGGGCUUAACCUGGGAACUGCAUUUGAAACUGGUCAACUAGAGUAUGGUAGAGGAAAGUGGAAUUUCUGGUGUAGCGGUGAAAUGCGUAGAUAUCAGAAAGGAACAUCAAUGGCGAAAGGCAGCUUUCUGGACCAAUACUGACGCUGAGGUACGAAAGCGUGGGUAGCAAACAGGAUUAGAUACCCUGGUAGUCCACGCCGUAAACGAUGAUAACUAGCCGUUGGGGGGAUUUACCCUUUAGUGGCGAAGCUAACGCGUUAAGUUAUCCGCCUGGGGAGUACGGCCGCAAGGUUAAAACUCAAAGGAAUUGACGGGGACCCGCACAAGCGGUGGAGCAUGUGGUUUAAUUCGAUGCAACGCGAAGAACCUUACCUGGUCUUGACAUCCUGCGAACUUUCUAGAAAUAGAUUGGUGCCUUCGGGAACGCAGUGACAGGUGCUGCAUGGCUGUCGUCAGCUCGUGUCGUGAGAUGUUGGGUUAAGUCCCGUAACGAGCGCAACCCCUAUCCUUAUUUGCCAGCACAUUAUGGUGGGAACUAUAAGGAGACUGCCGGUGAUAAACCGGAGGAAGGCGGGGACGACGUCAAGUCAUCAUGGCCCUUACGACCAGGGCUACACACGUGCUACAAUGGGAAGGACAAAGAGCCGCGAAGCCGCGAGGUGUAGCUAAUCUCAUAAACCUUUUCGUAGUCCGGAUUGGAGUCUGCAACUCGACUCCAUGAAGUCGGAAUCGCUAGUAAUCGUAGAUCAGAAUGCUACGGUGAAUACGUUCCCGGGUCUUGUACACACCGCC
RNAcentral lists this ribosomal RNA (1375 nucleotides) under uncultured bacterium. RNAcentral's name for it is "16S ribosomal RNA". It matches the Rfam family "Bacterial small subunit ribosomal RNA", at positions 30 to 1394 of the family's 1533-position model. The record is from RNAcentral.